GAGAGUUUGUAACACCCGAAGUCGGUGAGGUAACCGUAAGGAGCCAGCCGCCUAAGGUGGGAUAGAUGAUUGGGGUGAAGUCGUAACAAGGUAGCCGUAUCGGAAGGUGCGGCUGGAUCACCUCCUUUCUAAGGA
RNAcentral lists this ribosomal RNA (135 nucleotides) under Salmonella enterica subsp. enterica serovar Paratyphi A. RNAcentral's name for it is "partial 16S ribosomal RNA". It matches the Rfam family "Bacterial small subunit ribosomal RNA", at positions 1406 to 1533 of the family's 1533-position model. The record is from RNAcentral. Lineage: Bacteria; Pseudomonadati; Pseudomonadota; Gammaproteobacteria; Enterobacterales; Enterobacteriaceae.